UCAUUCAAGAGCAGGACUAACAAGGAUUCCCCUAGUAACUGCGAGUGAAGCGGGAAAAGCUCAAAUUUAAAAUCUGGCGGUCUCCGGCCGUCCGAGUUGUAAUUUAGAGAAGCGUUAUCCGUGCUGGACCGUGUAUAAGUCUCCUGGAAUGGAGCGUCAUAGAGGGUGAGAAUCCCGUCUUUGACACGGACUACCAGUGCAUUGUGAUGCGCUCUCGACGAGUCGAGUUGUUUGGGAAUGCAGCUCAAAAUGGGUGGUAAAUGCCAUCUAAAGCUAAAUAUUGGCGAGAGACCGAUAGCGAACAAGUACCGUGAGGGAAAGAUGAAAAGAACUUUGGAAAGAGAGUUAAACAGUACGUGAAAUUGUCGAAAGGGAAACGGUUGCAGUCAGUCGCGUCCGCCGGGGAUCAACCUUGCUUUUGCUUGGCGUAUUUCCCGGUGGAUGGGUCAGCAUCAGUUUUGACCGCAGUUGAAAGGCUGGAGGAAUGUGGCACCUUCGGGUGUGUUAUAGCCUCCUGUCAUAUGCUGCGGUUGGGACUGAGGAACUCAGCACGCCGCAAGGCCGGGAUUCGUCCACGUUCGUGCUUAGGAUGCUGGCAUAAUGUCUGUAACCGACCCGUCUUGAAACACGGACCCAAA
Molecule: ribosomal RNA, 638 nt
Filed under: Schizophyllum commune
Lineage: Eukaryota; Fungi; Basidiomycota; Agaricomycetes; Agaricales; Schizophyllaceae
Description: partial large subunit ribosomal RNA
Rfam family: Eukaryotic large subunit ribosomal RNA
Source: RNAcentral